Molecule: long non-coding RNA, 1117 nt
Organism: Oncorhynchus mykiss (rainbow trout)
Lineage: Eukaryota; Metazoa; Chordata; Actinopteri; Salmoniformes; Salmonidae
Source: RefSeq, a predicted model, not a curated record
ACACUCGCAUUAACAUCUGCUAACCAUGUGUAUGUGACAAAUAAAUUUGAUUUGAUUUUGAUUUGAUAACAAGAUGGAGCAGGGGAGGAGGAAAGCAAGGCCAUCAUGCUCAGAGGCCUGUCCCUCCAGAUCAAAGAGGAAGAUAUCUGAGCUGCUCUUGAGCAGCUGCAGGGAUCCCAGCCUGUGGAUAUCCGGCUGAUGAAGAAGAGGACAUGUGGAGUUGUUGUCUGGAGUCUCCGAUUCAUUCAGCUCCAAACGCACCACCACCCUACACACGCCACCAUGUCUACGAUAUCAAUCAUAUUUGCCAUAUCAAAGGAAUCUUCAUCACACCUAAACUAUACUACUACAACUCCCAGACCCAACAGUACCUAUUCUGGAACAGUGAGACACAGACCUACAUCCCUGCAGCAGCAGAAACCACACAACAGCUGCAGAUUCCAUUUGAGAACAGGCCUCUUCAGAAGCCUCAUCAAGCAAAUAAUCACAGGAGAAAAAGGACAAGCCCAAGAGCAAGUCUGCCCAGCAGGUAACAGACAGACAGACAGACAGACAGCGACACCCCCUACAGACAGAGGGAAGUCCCAUACUGAAGCACUAGUGCCUAUAGUGAGCUACAGUAAUAAUAAGUGUUCUCUACCAUCUCAGAUAGCUAAAGACAUUGAGCAUUGGGGCAAUAGACUGAACAAGCAGGAGGAGAGCUUCAAGAGCAGCUUCCAGGGCCUGGGGUCAGGACAGGGAUGAGGACAGGAGAGAGGCUGCAGCUGGCAAUACAGGCUUCUCCACUUUAUUUGAGAAAAAGUUACUUAUGAUUAUAACCCUUAUGUCAAAGUGCAGCAGUUCCUGGAUCAGUGAAGGAUGAUGACCUGUUUGAUACGAUGAUGAGUGUGUCAGUGAUGUCAAUUAGCUGUUGUGUGUUUUGCUCCUCAAGCCUGGUUGAGGGUUUGAGACCCACCUUGCGGUCUCAAACCCAUGGUGGAGGGUUUGAGACCCCAGCCAAGGUAAGGAUGAGGCUUAAGGUGUCAGCAUGACUCCCUUAAAAGACCUUCACUUGAAAAAUGAGAAAAAAGUUGCAAUAGUACUGUUCAUCUGUUUUGAAACACCGUAGCCAGUAUAC